Molecule: ribosomal RNA, 400 nt
Filed under: uncultured bacterium
Lineage: Bacteria
Description: bacterial SSU rRNA
Rfam family: Bacterial small subunit ribosomal RNA
Source: RNAcentral
UGAGGAAUAUUGGGCAAUGCCCGGAAGGGUGACCCAGCAACGCCGCGUGGAGGAUGAAUGUCGUAAGAUUGUAAACUCCUGUUAGAGGGGAAGAAUAAUUCCGAUCGACUCGGAAAUUGACUGUACCCUCAGAGAAAGCCCCGGCUAACUACGUGCCAGCAGCCGCGGUAAUACGUAGGGGGCAAGCGUUGUCCGGAUUUACUGGGUGUAAAGGGCGCGCAGGUGGGUUGACAAGUCAGAGGUGAAAUCCUACAGCUUAACUGUAGAACUGCCUUUGAGACUGUCAAUCUUGAGUACGGAAGAGAGAGAUGGAAUUCCAGGUGUAGUGGUGAAAUACGUAGAUAUCUGGAAGAACACCAGUGGCGAAGGCGGUCUCUUGGUCCAAUACUGACACUAAGGC